AUGUGUGGGGCAAUGUUCACAAGGCUACCCACUGAGAUCGGGGACCUACAACAUUUAGAGACCCUGGACCUGAGUUACAACAGAUGGCUCAAAAAGCUGCCUCGUGAGAUUGGGAACCUCCAGAAUUUGAAGCGGCUGCUCUUGCGUGGUGAAUUGGUCGUGAAGAUACCAAGUGAAAUCGGAAGGCUAAAGAAUCUGGAGAUUUUGAAACUAGACGCGACCAUCGGUGCACUAUCCUGGGAAGCUAGUCAGCUUUCGAAAUUGGAAGGAGUGCCCGGGUGCGUCCGCAAAGCCUGGAACAAGAGUGAUCUUGUGUCUGAGUUAGCCGGGGAGAUCCUGUCAGUUCAAAUGGCGCGUUGGGUUGGCGAUCGCGGGGGCCUAAUCGUUGGCACGAAGCACAUGCACAUUCCACGGUGGAUCAAAGAUCACUUCAACGACCUUGCCACCUUGAAUAUCAGGAUCUACAAACUAGAGGAGGAGCAGGAUCUCAAGAUUCUGCGGGAGAUGUCCAACCUGGACAAACUUACGCCUAUAGCCAUCAGCGGUGAAGGAUUCCGGAGGCUCAAGCAACUCGUUAUUGACAGCCGGUGCAUGCCACAAUUUACCUUCCAGGAAGGAGCAAAGAAGCCCAGGAGCAUCCCAAUCAGAUGA
This 651-nucleotide ribosomal RNA is filed under the name Triticum aestivum (bread wheat). RNAcentral describes it as "partial small subunit ribosomal RNA". Lineage: Eukaryota; Viridiplantae; Streptophyta; Magnoliopsida; Poales; Poaceae. The record is from RNAcentral.